CCUACGGGAGGCAGCAGUGAGGAAUAUUGGUCAAUGGUCGGGAGACUGAACCAGCCAAGCCGCGUGAGGGAUGAAGGUACAGAGUAUCGUAAACCUCUUUUGUCAGGGAACAAAGGCGGGGACGUGUCCCCGGAUGAGUGUACCUGAAGAAAAAGCAUCGGCUAACUCCGUGCCAGCAGCCGCGGUAAUACGGAGGAUGCGAGCGUUAUCCGGAUUUAUUGGGUUUAAGGGGUGCGCAGGCGGUCUGUUAAGUCAGCGGUCAAAGUCCGGGGCUCAACCCCGGCCCGCCGUUGAAAAUGGUAGUCUUGAGGUGGCGAGAAGUAUGCGGAAUGCGCGGUGGAGCGGGGAAAUGCAUAGAGAUCGCGGAGAACUCCGAUUGGGAAGGCAGCAUGCCGGCUCCACACUGACGCUGAGGCACGAAAGCGUGGGUAUCGAACAGGAUUAGAUACCCUGGUAGUC
Molecule: ribosomal RNA, 459 nt
Filed under: uncultured bacterium
Lineage: Bacteria
Description: partial 16S ribosomal RNA
Rfam family: Bacterial small subunit ribosomal RNA
Source: RNAcentral